RNAcentral lists this transfer RNA (71 nucleotides) under Burkholderia sp. MSMB1826. Its description in RNAcentral is "tRNA-Met". Lineage: Bacteria; Pseudomonadati; Pseudomonadota; Betaproteobacteria; Burkholderiales; Burkholderiaceae. The record is from RNAcentral.
GGGCCUGAAAGGCUAUGAACAGCGGACUCAUAAUUCGUUGGUGCCGGGUUCGACUCCCGGGGGGCCCACCA